RNAcentral lists this ribosomal RNA (233 nucleotides) under uncultured bacterium. Its description in RNAcentral is "partial 16S ribosomal RNA". It matches the Rfam family "Bacterial small subunit ribosomal RNA", at positions 118 to 348 of the family's 1533-position model. The record is from RNAcentral.
UGAGCAAUCUGCCCUUCUCAUCGGAAUAAGCGUUGGAAACGACGUCUAAUGCCGAAUACGACCUCCUUUCGCAUGAUCGGAGGUGGAAAGCUCCGGCGGAGAAGGAUGAGCUCGCGGCCUAUCAGCUAGUUGGUGUGGGUAAUGGCCCACCAAGGCGACGACGGGUAGCCGGCCUGAGAGGGUGACCGGCCACACGUGGGACUGAGACACGGCCCAGACCUCCGUAGGGACGG